RNAcentral lists this ribosomal RNA (465 nucleotides) under uncultured bacterium. RNAcentral describes it as "partial 16S ribosomal RNA". It matches the Rfam family "Bacterial small subunit ribosomal RNA", at positions 28 to 507 of the family's 1533-position model. The record is from RNAcentral.
GACGAACGCUGGCGGCGUGCUUAACACAUGCAAGUCGAACGGAAAGGCCCCUUUGGGGGUACUCGAGUGGCGAACGGGUGAGUAACACGUGAGUAACCUGCCCUUGACUUCGGGAUAACUUCAGGAAACUGGGGCUAAUACCGGAUAGGAAUCCUUGCUGCAUGGUGGGGGUUGGAAAGCUUCGGCGGUUUUGGAUGGACUCGCGGCUUAUCAGCUUGUUGGUGGGGUAGUGGCUUACCAAGGCUUUGACGGGUAGCCGGCCUGAGAGGGCGACCGGCCACAUUGGGACUGAGAUACGGCCCAGACUCCUACGGGAGGCAGCAGUGGGGAAUAUUGCACAAUGGGCGGAAGCCUGAUGCAGCAACGCCGCGUGCGGGAUGACGGCCUUCGGGUUGUAAACCGCUUUCAGCAGGGGCGAAGCUUGUGGUGACGGUACCUGCAGAAGAAGCACCGGCUAACUACGAG